RNAcentral lists this ribosomal RNA (460 nucleotides) under uncultured bacterium. RNAcentral describes it as "partial 16S ribosomal RNA". It matches the Rfam family "Bacterial small subunit ribosomal RNA", at positions 338 to 795 of the family's 1533-position model. The record is from RNAcentral.
CCUACGGGUGGCAGCAGUGGGGAAUAUUGGACAAUGGACGCAAGUCUGAACCAGCCAUGCCGCGUGCAGGAAGACGGCUCGAUGAGUUGUACACUGCUUUUGUACGAGGGUAAACGCAGAUACGCGUAUCUGUCUGAAAGUAUCGUACGAAUAAGGAUCGGCUAACUCCGUGACAGCAGCCGCGGUAAUACGGAGGAUUCGAGCGUUAUCCGGCUUUAUUGGGUUUAAAGGGUGCGUAGGCGGUCGGAUAAGUUAGAGGUGAAAUCCCGAGGCUCAACUUCGGAAUUGCCUCUGAUACUGUUCGGCGAGAGAGUAGUUGCGGUAGGCGGAAUGUAUGGUGUAGCGGUGAAAUGCAUAGAGAUCAUACAGAACACCGAUUGCGAAGGCAGCUUACCAAACUACGACUGACGUUGAGGCACGAAAGCGUGGGGAGCAAACAGGAUUAGAUACCCCUGUAGUC